GCCAAACCAUGCUGAAAACAGCUGUUCUCGUCUGAUCAAUGAAGUUAAGCGGCAUUGGCCGUGGUCAGUACUUGAGAGGGUGAACACUUGGGAACACCGCGUGCCGUU
Trichonephila clavata is the source of this 108-nucleotide non-coding RNA. The record is from the annotation of a GenBank genome assembly. NCBI's taxonomy places the organism in Eukaryota, Metazoa, Arthropoda, Arachnida, Araneae, Nephilidae.